CCCUUGAAACUGCGAAUGGCUCAUUAAAACAGUUAUAGUUUAUUCGAUAAUCAAAUUUACAUGGAUAACCGUAGUAAUUCUAGAGCUAAUACAUGCUGUCAAACCUGACUUUUCGGAAAGGUUGUAUUUAUUAGAUAUAAACCAACCCCUCGUGGUUGUGAUGAUUCAUAAUAACUGAGCGAAUCUGGGUUGUACUCAGAUAAAUCGUUCAAGUUUCUGCCCUAUCAGCUUUCGAUGGUAGUGUAUUGGACUACCAUGGCGGUCACGGGUAACGGAGAAUAAGGGUUCGAUUCCGGGGAGGGAGCCUGAGAAAUGGCUACCACAUCUAAGGAAGGCAGCAGGCGCGUAAAUUACCCAAUCCUGACUCAGGGAGGUAGUGACAAGAAAUAACAACUCGGGACCCCUUGUGGGUCUGCGAGAUUGCAAUGAGAACAAUUUAAACCACUUAUCGAGGAACAAUUGGAGGGCAAGUCUGGUGCCAGCAGCCGCGGUAAUUCCAGCUCCAAUAGCGUAUAUUAAAGUUGUUGCAGUUAAAAAGCUCGUAGUUGAUUUUCUGGCCAGUUCCUGGCUUGGCUGUAGUCGGUCAGUGGGCUUGGUCAUCCGUAGGGGAAACACGUACGCACUUCAAUGGGCGGCGUGCGGAACCUACAUUUUACUGUGAAAAAAUUAGAGUGCUCCAGGCAGGCAAUCGCUUGGAUACUCCAGCAUGGAAUAAUGGAAUAGGACUUUGAACUAUUUGUUGGUUUGAGUUCAGAGUAAUGAUUAAUAGGGACAGUUGGGGGCAUUCGUAUUCAAUUGUCAGAGGUGAAAUUCUUGGAUUUAUUAAAGACGAACUUAUGCGAAAGCAUUUGCCAAGGAUGUUUUCAUUAAUCAAGAACGAAAGUUAGGGGAUCAAAGACGAUCAGAUACCGUCGUAGUCUUAACCAUAAACUAUACCGACUUGGGAUCGGCAGGGUCUUCUAAGCCCUGUCGGAACCAUAUGAGAAAUCAAAUCUUUGGGUUCUGGGGGGAGUAUGGGUCGCAAGGCUGAACUUAA
Molecule: ribosomal RNA, 1036 nt
Filed under: uncultured ciliate
Lineage: Eukaryota; Ciliophora
Description: SSU rRNA
Rfam family: Eukaryotic small subunit ribosomal RNA
Source: RNAcentral